GGCCCCGUAGCUCAGCUGGAUAGAGCGUCCCCUCCUAAGGGAAGGUCGCCCGUUCGAAUCGGGCCGGGGUCACCA
RNAcentral lists this transfer RNA (75 nucleotides) under Xanthomonas cucurbitae. RNAcentral's name for it is "tRNA-Arg". It matches the Rfam family "tRNA". From Rfam's summary of the family: Transfer RNA (tRNA) molecules are approximately 80 nucleotides in length. Lineage: Bacteria; Pseudomonadati; Pseudomonadota; Gammaproteobacteria; Lysobacterales; Lysobacteraceae. The record is from RNAcentral.